UAGCCUAGUGGUUAGAGUGUUCGGCCAUUAACCGAAAGGUUGCUGGAUCAAAUCCAGC
This 58-nucleotide transfer RNA is filed under the name Salmo salar (Atlantic salmon). It matches the Rfam family "tRNA", at positions 8 to 63 of the family's 71-position model. Rfam says of the family: Transfer RNA (tRNA) molecules are approximately 80 nucleotides in length. Their secondary structure includes four short double-helical elements and three loops (D, anti-codon, and T loops). Further hydrogen bonds mediate the characteristic L-shaped molecular structure. tRNAs have two regions of fundamental functional importance: the anti-codon, which is responsible for specific mRNA codon recognition, and the 3' end, to which the tRNAs corresponding amino acid is attached (by aminoacyl-tRNA synthetases). tRNAs cope with the degeneracy of the genetic code in two manners: having more than one tRNA (with a specific anti-codon) for a particular amino acid; and 'wobble' base-pairing, i.e. permitting non-standard base-pairing at the 3rd anti-codon position. The record is from Rfam by way of RNAcentral. Lineage: Eukaryota; Metazoa; Chordata; Actinopteri; Salmoniformes; Salmonidae.